This 45-nucleotide non-coding RNA is filed under the name Schistosoma mattheei. Lineage: Eukaryota; Metazoa; Platyhelminthes; Trematoda; Strigeidida; Schistosomatidae. The record is from RNAcentral.
AUCCAGAUGUCGAGUCCUAAAUAGGAUGAAACGCGUGUCCUGGAU